UACAGAGGGUGCGAGCGUUAAUCGGAAUUACUGGGCGUAAAGCGUGCGUAGACGGUAGCGUAAGUCGGGUGUGAAAGCCCCGGGCUCAACCUGGGAAUUGCAUUCGAGACUGCUCUGCUAGGGUGCGGAAGAGGGAAGCGGAAUUUCCGGUGUAGCGGUGAAAUGCGUAGAUAUCAUUUGGAACGCCAAUGGUGAAAACAGGUAGCUGGGGCUGUGCUGACGCUGAGACACGAAAGCCAGGGGAGCAAACGGG
Molecule: ribosomal RNA, 253 nt
Filed under: uncultured bacterium
Lineage: Bacteria
Description: partial 16S ribosomal RNA
Rfam family: Bacterial small subunit ribosomal RNA
Source: RNAcentral